Molecule: long non-coding RNA, 1144 nt
Filed under: Oryza brachyantha (malo sina)
Lineage: Eukaryota; Viridiplantae; Streptophyta; Magnoliopsida; Poales; Poaceae
Description: long non-coding RNA (OBRA_LNC003127)
Source: RNAcentral
AAUUUUUUUGGUUUCGUCGCGGCUGCGUUUCCUCCUCUCCUCCGUAUACUCGGAAAAAAAAUCAGUGCAGCUGGGCUGCAAACUCCCUCUGCCUGCUCUCGAUGGAUGUCAGGUGGAUUACAAAAUCAUCCAAUCGAUGCACACCGCAGCUCGCUUGUUCCCCCCUGUAUAUGUGAACUUUCACGGCUGACGGCUGGGCUUCUUCUUUCUUUUUCCUCGGCUCAGCUUCUUCUUUUUUCUGCAAGCUGCAAGUUCUUUCGCCCCCAAUCCCCUACCCUAUCUUGCCUCUCGUCUGAUGCUGCAGUCAAGGCCUCUGUUCCACUCUAGUGAGAGGCGCCACCGGUGGCGAAGACGACAUGGAGCUCGCCGGGUAUGCGAGAGUGAGCACAGGCGUUUUCCCCUCCUCCUCUCUCCUGGGUUUCUGGUAGUGGGAAACAAUUGGGUCAACGAGAUCGAGCAGGAGGUAGUGUCAGAACCAGGAAAUUGAAAUGCAGUGAAUUGCAUAUUUAAGCCGGGUAAGAUUCACAAAUCAUAAUAUUUCACCCCAAUGAAAUGUAAUGUUUGGAUUGCACUGUGAUUGAACAUAUUUAGGGAAAAUUCUAGUGUAAGGGGUCACAGUUGUUCUCUGAUCUAUCUCAAGAAUUAAAAAUGAGGCUUCUUUAUAUAUAAAUUGCUUUUCACCAUGUGGUUCUAAUUAAUUGUUGUAUUUUUUAUUUCUUCCUAUACUCUACAGAAAUCACACGAAGAGAAUACAAGACUAGAAGGCAGAAAGCUGGUGCUGAAUAAGUCACAAAUGACAUCCUGAACACAAGGUAUGGCUGGAAGGAGCAGAUUUCAGAGAAGGCAAUGAGAGUGGAGCAGUAUGGAAGCAGACAUGGGAGUGAUCUGAAGCUUGUGCCUAGUUGUUUGUUGCUGCCUCUUGUAGUUGCUAGUUGCUAUAUGUCUGAUCAUGUACCUUUUCUCUGGGCAAGAUGCUGGAAUGUUGGUUUCUGCCAUAAACAAAAAAAAUGACAUGGUGUCUGUUGGCAUAUAAGUGCAGCCAUUCCGUUUGUCUUUUAAUUCAGCCUUUGUUGUUCAACUAUUGUAACCUUAUGACAGAUUUUUUAAUGGAAAUGAGAGAGGAUUACCUCUCGUUGUUGGAAAA